This 253-nucleotide ribosomal RNA is filed under the name uncultured bacterium. RNAcentral describes it as "partial 16S ribosomal RNA". It matches the Rfam family "Bacterial small subunit ribosomal RNA", at positions 524 to 776 of the family's 1533-position model. The record is from RNAcentral.
UACGAAGGGGGCUAGCGUUGUUCGGAAUCACUGGGCGUAAAGCGCACGUAGGCGGAUCGUUAAGUCGGGGGUGAAAUCCUGAGGCUCAACCUCAGAACUGCCUUCGAUACUGGCGAUCUCGAGUCCGGAAGAGGUUGGUGGAACAGCUAGUGUAGAGGUGAAAUUCGUAGAUAUCAAGAGGAACACCUGCGGCGAAGGCGGGUUGCUGGGCCGACACUGACGCUGAGGCGCGAAAGCUAGGGGAGCGAACGGG